CCUUUGACGUUAGCGGCGGACGGGUGAGUAACACGUGGGUAACCUACCUAUAAGACUGGGAUAACUUCGGGAAACCGGAGCUAAUACCGGAUAAUAUUUCGAACCGCAUGGUUCGAUAGUGAAAGAUGGUUUUGCUAUCACUUAUAGAUGGACCCGCGCCGUAUUAGCUAGUUGGUAAGGUAACGGCUUACCAAGGCGACGAUACGUAGCCGACCUGAGAGGGUGAUCGGCCACACUGGAACUGAGACACGGUCCAGACUCCUACGGGAGGCAGCAGAG
RNAcentral lists this ribosomal RNA (279 nucleotides) under uncultured Staphylococcus sp. RNAcentral's name for it is "partial 16S ribosomal RNA". It matches the Rfam family "Bacterial small subunit ribosomal RNA", at positions 83 to 354 of the family's 1533-position model. The record is from RNAcentral. Lineage: Bacteria; Bacillati; Bacillota; Bacilli; Caryophanales; Staphylococcaceae.